GUUUGAGGGAGAUUUUGUUAGAAGGAUUGGAGUUGUUGAACUGGUGAUUGGAGAUCUGAGAUUCUCAGAGGAAAGAUGAGAUCGAAUCUUCAAAUGGAAGAAAAGAUCUGAGAAAGAAGGAUUGAAGAUUUGGAGGAAAAGAUUGAAGAUCUGAAAGUUCAGAGGAAAGAUGGGAUUGAAUCAACUAGAUGGGAGAGAAGAUCAGAAGAGAAGGAUUGAAAUUGAUGAAGAAAGGAUUUGAGAAGAGAAAGGCUGAAGAGUUGAGAGAGAAAGGCUUGAGCUCGGAAGAAAAUUUCUUUUCUUUUGGAGUGAACAGUUUUUCCCCAGAAUGCACCUAUUUAUAGAACAAGGUGAGCAGAUCUCCACCGUUGGAUGAACGAUCUCAGAAUUUGAAUCCACGCGUUGGAUUAAAGUCAUCCGAAAACCCGGAAAAGUUGUUGGCGCGUGGAGAGCGUGUAAGGGGACAGGCCGAACCUCGAGAUGCUGUGGCAGACAGCUUUAGCCGAAAGCAGAUUUGACUGCCGUAAAUCACGGAAGGGAUAAGCCGUGACACAAGUGGGCCGUACUUGGGCCUGUCUCGGAUCAAGGCAUCACUGUAGCUGUGGGUGGAGGCCUGAUGGGCCGAGUUUCAGAAACAGUUUUGGACAUGAUGGGCCGAGUUUCUGAAACAGUUUUGGAUACGUUGGGCUGGGUUUCUGCAACAGUCUUGGAUGUUUUGGGCCGAAUUGUUGAAACAGUUGAAACAGUUGGUUUAAAUAAAAGGAUUGGUAUGGAUAAUAACGUGAGCAGCCGUGCUCGAGUGGUUGAGUGUACAGUUCGUGUACAAGAGGUCUGAGGUUCGAACCUCGCCUCUCGUUUAUUUUUAUUAUGGUCGUUUAUGACAUAAUAAGUAUAAAAUUUGUACACAUUAUAUUAAGCACAGCUUGUGCUCCAGUGGUUGGGGGACAAAGGUUUCGUGCGGCAGGUUGAGGUUUCGAACCUUGCCUUCCCCGUUAUUUCAUUUAUGUCACUUAUGACAUAAUAAAUAUAACACGUGAGCAUAUAUUAAUGAAGGCAGCUCUUGCUUCAGUGGUUGGGAGCAAAACCUUCGUGUUUGAGGUCGGGAGUUCGAACCCUACCUCUUACAAAUAUUUUUGGGUCUCGUAUAUGCUUGAUAUACGGACGUAUAUACGGUAUGUACGGUAUACAUACGUAUAUACGGUCUGUACAGUAUGCAUACGUAUAUACAGUUGUACGGUAUGCAUACGUAUACACGAUCUGUACGGUAUGUAUACGUAUAUACGGUAUGUACAAUUUCAUACCGUAGCCGAGCUGGAAGUGGGUGGGCCGAUUGGUAGGCCCAAAUAGUAAGCCCAAUUGUUCGGCCCGAAUAGUAGGCCCAAAUGUUAAACCCAAAGUGGUUUGGGCCGGUUCGAAAUGUGGAUGGUUCGGUUUCUUCGGCCCAAUUGGCCAGCCCUAGUGCUUAGUCCAAGGAUUGAGCAAGCCCAAGUCAUCAUCAUUGGGUGACAUAAUUUAUUGGCGUGCUUUUGGGGAUGAUUUGUUUUGAGUGAUGCAUCUCUAUGGUUGUGAAGAGUGGUGCAUGCUUAAGUUUUACUAUGGAGAUUUACCGUGAUGCUAAUUGAGUAGCGAAACACUUUGUGGGAGUGUUUACUGUGCUUGUAUGCCAGUACAGAGUGAUGAUCUAUGUGAAGAUCUAUGUGAUGAUCUAUGUGAAGAUCUAUGUGAGGAUCUAUGAGAUGAUCCACGUGAUGAUUUUGUGUAAUUGAUGUGGAGUGAUGUUGAGCAGUUGUUUUGUGAAUUUACAUUGUGAUGAAAGGAUUUAGUGGCCCUAGGAAUGUAUUUUUAUACAAAGGAUUGUGGCUUUGUAGAUUACUACAGAUUUGGAAAAGAUGGAGAUUCUAUGAUUAGGUCAACCUUAAUCGAGAGGAAUUGACUUACGCUCAAAUUUCGGGACGAAAUUUCUUUAAGGAGGGUAGAUUGUAAUACCCCGAAAAAUCCAAAUUAAAUUCCAUGGUUUUUUAGAAAUGAUUUCACGAUAGUAGGAGCGAGUACGAAGCUUGGAAAAGUUGUGGAAUUAGUUCGAACGAUUUUAUUUUCGAAAACGAACGUUUUUAGGGGGUCAACAAAGUUGACUUUUUAUACGUUCAAAAUUUGGGAAAACUUCCUUCAUGAAAGUUGUAGAGCUCGUCGAUACGAGUUCGUGGACAUGUGGAACGCAUUAUUUGGAGUUCGUAUGAAUAAGUUAUGAAUAUUUUAAAAUUGAGAAUUUUCUAUAAAUACAAAAAAUCAGAUUUCUCAAUAAGGAAACCCGAAAAUUUCCAGAUUUUUCUCCUCCUCGCUGCCUUGGCUUCACGGCGUCGCCACGACUUCAUCCGGCCACCUAUGGCCAUGAAAUUGAUAUCAAUCUCUUCGCCUUGAAACCAGCUUUCCAUUCAUAUAUGUCUUGCAUCCUAUCAUUCACCAUAGACAACGAAUCGAAGCAAAGAAGGUCAGACCAUUUUUCAUGCAUUUCUUCAAAUUCCAGCCAACUCCGGCAAAGGUAGGAGGGGAGACCAACUGGGCUUUGUUCGCCUUGCCAUGCUCUAUAAACUCACCAAGUUUCACAUCUCGAUUCAACCCGAGGAAGACGAAUUUCAGAUUUGAGCGAUUUUGGGCGAUUUCGGCCUCUUUCUUCUUGAGGUGAUUGGCGGAUUGAUUUGGCGGACGAUUCGUAAAAUCGUUGUUGAGCUGUUUAGAAGACGCAACGGGAAUUAGAGCGGGUAAUCCUACAGGACAGGAGAACCAGGACGGUGAUCGUGCGGUUAGAGCAAUUGUUAGAGUUUUACAACAAUUGUAAGUUGUGAGG
This is a long non-coding RNA of Rosa rugosa (rugosa rose), 2845 nucleotides long. RefSeq lists it as uncharacterized. Lineage: Eukaryota; Viridiplantae; Streptophyta; Magnoliopsida; Rosales; Rosaceae. The record is from RefSeq and is a predicted model, not a curated record. The transcript has 3 exons.